UUUCCGACAAUGCGAUCUAGGCGUUUCUAUCGCUGAGGUAGUAUUGUUUGAAAGAU
This 56-nucleotide microRNA precursor is filed under the name Drosophila erecta. RNAcentral's name for it is "microRNA der-mir-9681 precursor". The record is from miRBase by way of RNAcentral. Lineage: Eukaryota; Metazoa; Arthropoda; Insecta; Diptera; Drosophilidae.